Carcharodon carcharias (great white shark) is the source of this 384-nucleotide long non-coding RNA. RefSeq lists it as uncharacterized. NCBI's taxonomy places the organism in Eukaryota, Metazoa, Chordata, Chondrichthyes, Lamniformes, Lamnidae. The transcript has 4 exons. The record is from RefSeq and is a predicted model, not a curated record.
CACACAUCAUGGGGACACCUGGAGUAGUUCCCAGCUUAUGCUGCGAACUCUUCAAUUUCUACCCUACCAAAGCUUCAGCAGGACUCUCACCAGGCUCACUUAAAUGCUGGAAAAAAACAAGAAUUGAGACACACUGUGGUUGGUAGCAGGAGAAAAUUGGAUGAUAAUUGCCGGCUUGCUCGCUUAGAAGUGAGAAGAAGGGAGAACAUUUUGGAAGAAUCUCGUAGGAGGAACAGGCUUUUCUCCCCACAUGACCUCUUCUGAAGGAACGGUCUAUACUAAGGGAUGGCUGAAAAGGAGGUGACAGGUCACAACGUAUUUCUUCCAAGUGUUCCUCAUGAUGUGGGCGUUGCUGACUAGGCCAGCAUUUAUUGCCCAUGUUUA